GGCGGAGGGGGCCUCCGUGGUGCCCGGCAGGCUGCGGCCCCCUCCUCCCCUCUCUCCCACUUUCACGAGCGCACUUCAAGGGCACCGACCUGGCAGCGGACACUGGGGGCCCAUAUGACCCUUUUUUUGGAGCCGGCGCUGGAAAGAGAAGAGUAAGAUGAUUGGCCAGUGAGAUGAAUCAGAGCACCCUCCACCCAGCUCGGCCGUGGACUCCCAAAGGGCAGGAACCAUGUCUCACUCGAUCCUGUUUCCCCAGCUCCUGGCAGGAUGCUCAGAACAGAGAAGAUGCUCACCAGUGUUUGCUGAGGAAGUGCACCUGGCUUCAGCAAACACCCUUCCCCUCUUUCCCAUCUGUCUCCACGGACCAGAUGCAGUUGGACUCUUCCUCUCUGAGCGGACAGAUGGCGGGUGAAUUCCUGAAUGACCAUGGCUGAUCACUUCCUCGGGUUCAGAGAGAACACAGGCACGGCUGUGAAGGCUCGGGUCGCGCAGGGCGGACUGCAGUCCCCUCCGUGAGCACGGCUAUUUACCAGGUGAUUUGGAAGCUGACAGGGACAUGCGGUGUGUGCACACAAAGGGAUCCUCAAUGCAUGUGCCUAUCUACGACUUUCCUAUGACCCACAGCCCUAGAUUCUCCACUUACACUGUUGCCACUUGGUAGAAGAAUGAUGCUCAAAGCACACACUCACAUGCCCAAAUUCUCACAAAUUCCUCCCCUGUGAUUUAGGAUUUUUGCCUCCGCGAAGG
Molecule: long non-coding RNA, 747 nt
Organism: Camelus dromedarius (Arabian camel)
Lineage: Eukaryota; Metazoa; Chordata; Mammalia; Artiodactyla; Camelidae
Exons: 3
Source: RefSeq, a predicted model, not a curated record